CUCGAUGAAGUGUGACCCGUAUUUACUCCAGAAGACAUUUUGAUAUCUGCAUAAUAUUAAAAAAAUAAAUAUAAUAUAAUUAAUUAUGAUAUUACAAUAACUAUAAAAUAUAAAAAUACAAAAUAAAAAUUUUACAUAACUUACUCUUUUUUUCCUGUUUUCUUCCUUUCUUCUAAAAGGGGACCAAACCCCCGCCUUAUCGGUUUCAAGAUUAAGAUGCAUUUUAGCCAGAACUAUUUCUUCAAGAUAUUCAUCUGUUGUGUCCUUAGUCAUUAGAAAACCAAGUCGCUUCUAAAGUCGAC
RNAcentral lists this long non-coding RNA (302 nucleotides) under Gossypium barbadense (sea-island cotton). RNAcentral describes it as "long non-coding RNA (GBAR_LNC008198)". The record is from RNAcentral. Lineage: Eukaryota; Viridiplantae; Streptophyta; Magnoliopsida; Malvales; Malvaceae.